Molecule: non-coding RNA, 85 nt
Organism: Felis catus (domestic cat)
Lineage: Eukaryota; Metazoa; Chordata; Mammalia; Carnivora; Felidae
Source: Rfam
GCCUGGGUGGCUCAGUCGGUUAAGCAUCCGACUUAAGCUCAGGUCAUGGUCUCACGGUUCGUGGGUUUGAGUCCUGCAUCAGGCU